AUUGAACGCUGGCGGCAUGCCUUACACAUGCAAGUCGAACGGCAGCACGGGAGCAAUCCUGGUGGCGAGUGGCGAACGGGUGAGUAAAGUAUCGGAACGUGCCCAGUCGUGGGGGAUAACGUAGCGAAAGUUACGCUAAUACCGCAUACGAUCUAUGGAUGAAAGCGGGGGAUCGCAAGACCUCGCGCGAUUGGAGCGGCCGAUAUCAGAUUAGGGAGUUGGUGGGGUAAAGGCUCACCAAGCCGACGAUCUGUGGCUGGUCUGAGAGGACGACCAGCCACACUGGGACUGAGACACGGCCCAGACUCCUACGGGAGGCAGCAGUGGGGAAUUUUGGACAAUGGGCGAAAGCCUGAUCCAGCCAUGCCGCGUGCAGGAUGAAGGCCUUCGGGUUGUAAACUGCUUUUGUACGGAACGAAAAGGUUUGGCCUAAUAAGCUGAGCUCAUGACGGUACCGUAAGAAUAAGCACCGGCUAACUACGUGCCAGCAGCCGCCGUAA
RNAcentral lists this ribosomal RNA (500 nucleotides) under uncultured bacterium. RNAcentral's name for it is "partial 16S ribosomal RNA". It matches the Rfam family "Bacterial small subunit ribosomal RNA", at positions 30 to 523 of the family's 1533-position model. The record is from RNAcentral.